Molecule: long non-coding RNA, 2077 nt
Filed under: Gossypium barbadense (sea-island cotton)
Lineage: Eukaryota; Viridiplantae; Streptophyta; Magnoliopsida; Malvales; Malvaceae
Description: long non-coding RNA (GBAR_LNC018346)
Source: RNAcentral
GACCACGAAUUCGACAAGUGAGCUUGUAAAUAUUAUUAAUUUAAUGUUUAUGAGUCAAUUAUAAUAUUAUUGAAAUUUUGAUUUAAUAAAUUUCGUUAAUUGAUCGUAUAGUUAAGUUAAGUGGUUCAUUCCUUAAUUCAAGUGGUUUUGGAAAAUGAAGUAUUGAAACCUCCUUUCUAUAAACCGAACCCGUAAAUAUUUUUAUUAAAUAUUUACAGAGUUAUUAUAUAGGCAUGUGAAUAUUCAGUUAGGAAAUUUAAUUUUUAAUUAGUUAAUUAAUUAAAAAGGACUAAAUCGUAAAAGUCAAAAAAUCUAAUCACUAUUGAAUUUUAAUGGUUAAAUAGCUUAACUAGUGGAUUUGUGAGGACUUAUGAAAUAAUUAUACUAUGUUUUGAUAUUAGUGGACGGUUAAGACAUUUAUUUAUGCAUUAUAUAUGUUAUAUUAUAAGUUAAAUAAUAAUAAAGUAAAUAAAAUAAGUAAAGUUUAAAAAAAAAGAAAAAGAAAACAUAAAAAAUUAGUGUCAUAUUCUUCUUCUUUUAAUUUGAACAUCGAACCAUCAUGGGAGAACUUGGGAAGCUUCGGCUUUGAUAUUUCCAUUGCAUGAAAGUGAGUUUUUCACUCGUUUUUCGUAAAUUUUAUAUUUUUGAGACCGUUGCAGCUAGGUACAGCUAACAUGUAUCUCUGUUUUUAAAACUGUUAAAGAUUUUGGAUUUUUCCAUUAAUUAAUUUUAGUUGUGUUGAGAAUUUAAUUGAUGUGUUCUUGAGUUUUACAGCUAGAUAUAAGUAUUUUGUUAAGUGAUUUUUAGUAAUUUCAAUGUUUAGGGAUUAAAUUGUUUAAAUAGUAAAAUUCAAUGAAAAUGGUGUGAAAUGAUAAGAAAUAUGGGCUGUAAUGGACCCCUAGGAAAAUUGGCUAGCAUAGUUUUUCAUUAAGUGUGGUUAAUUUGUGAUUUAUGAAUUUGAGUAUUUUAUGAUAUUUGAAUUGGUUAAUUGAAUAAAUUUAUUAUAUUUAGAUCAAGAAACGAGCUAACCUGGCAUUAAUUGUGGGAAAGGAAAGUUAAAGGAGAAAUCGUCGGUGUUGUGUUUGUAACUAUUUUCAAUUAGGUAAGUUUGUAAAUUGAUUAAAUUAAUUAUUUGUUAUUUUUGUGACUUAAUAUAUAUAUUUAUGUUGUUAUUCAAUUUAACUACUUGAGAUUGAUAUGUGAUGAGUUGGACUAAGUUAUGAUGAUAUUUAAGUUGAGUACUGUGUUUGGAAAAUGUCAAAUACACGGAUGUGAGUUUGAAAUGGUAUAAUGGAAACGAAGUUAAAUGACUAGGAUAUAAAAUGUGUCACAUUUGAACCUUGUGAGUACUUAUGAUACAAAUGACAUGUCAUUAGGAGGUUAUUUCCAGUUUCGGGUGCUGGUCUUGGAUGUCCUACCGAUGGCUGAGGUAUUGCACUUGUUAUGGAUUCUCCACAAUUCGUGUGAGCAGCACCGUGUAGCUUAAUAUCCUGACCCAUAGCUUGUGUGAGCAGACCCAUUUCACAGCUCAUGUGAGCAUACAGUAUUACAUGUUACAGUCACAGCUUGCGUGAGCAGUUCCCGAGUAUCCGAUGUUAUUUCAUUUGGUUCAACAGGUAGUAAAAUUUUAAACUAAUAUGUACAUAUAUAAAAAUGUUAUAUGGUCAAGACAUGUGAAUGGAAGAUGCUGAUAUAAAUACUUGGAAUGGGAAGCUAUGUUUAUCGAACACAUGAUAGAUGUAAUAUGUACUGGUUAUGUUAUUAUUACAUGUUCCAUUAUUGUUGGAAUUAUAUGUUUCUUUGUGAUACCUAUUAACCUUGUAAGGUUGUGUUGUAUAGAAAAGAAAUGUAAGUAUAAGAUUUAAUGAAUGAAUAUGUGUUAUAUGCUAAAUAAAUAUGUGAUGGUUGGCUAUGUACUAAAUAAGUUUUUUGGUAUAUGUUUGAUGGCAUGAUAAAGUUACAUGUUUUAUAUAUGAACUCACUAAUCUUGUGAGACUUGUGAUGUGUCUAGGAAAUUAACAAACUCAUGACCAGGACAUAGAGUUAUCUUGUAAAAUGUUUUAUUACAUCGUUUUUG